AUAUUACCGAGGGAUUGCUUCUCCUUGUUCCAGUACUGAAGAUGUGAUUUGCAAGGCUAUCAACUGUACAUCCAGGGUCCCAGCAGCAGGUCUGGAGAACAACUCCACAGCCCCAUGCCAGCUGGAAGGAGAAGCUGCUCUCUUUCCUGCUUCCCCUGUAUCCUUUUCCCUGAGGCUGUCGCACUGCUGCUGGUCCCAAACCAGGCUUCUUUCUGAGGAGAAGAACUACAGUGUCCAGUUUAAAGUGGCAAUGGUGUAUACCCUGGGCACUCGCUCAGAUACAGCACUGGGAAACUCCUCCCCGCAGACUCCACUUCUUCCUGUACUCAGAGUUCCCCAGAACUGUGCAACAUUGUACAAUUUAAGCAUCUGGGAUCAAGAUGGGGAUGUGGUGAGAUGCCGCUACGGGCUCAGAGAGGAGCUUGGCUGUGCUUUCUGCAAGAAGUCUCCUUUCCUCCAUUUGGAUGAGGUAAGUGGUCUCAUCUACUCUCACUACGGGUGGGAGUGGGCAGAGGCACCUUGACAGUUACCCGAGGUCAUUGUGACAGAACGGCCCAGGUCAGCAAUAAUGCAUUGUUAUAUCAUGACACAAGCAUAGAGGAAACGUUGUUUAACCAUGUGGGGAAACCCCAAAGGUGUA
Long non-coding RNA from Alligator mississippiensis (American alligator), 640 nucleotides. RefSeq lists it as uncharacterized. The record is from RefSeq and is a predicted model, not a curated record. Lineage: Eukaryota; Metazoa; Chordata; Crocodylia; Alligatoridae. The transcript has 3 exons.